CAGUCGCCACGGGAAUACGAAGGGGGCUAGCGUUGUUCGGAAUUACUGGGCGUAAAGGGCGCGUAGGCGGCCAUUCAAGUUAGAUGUGAAAGCCCUGGGCUCAACCUAGGAAUUGCAUUUGAUACUGUUUGGCUUGAGUGCGGUAGAGGGUAGUGGAAUUCCCGGUGUAGCAGUGAAAUGCGUAGAGAUCGGGAGGAACACCAGUGGCGAAGGCGGCUACCUGGACCAGCACUGACACUGAAGCACGAAAGCGUGGGGAGCAAACAGGAUUAGAUACCCCUGUAGUCCCUGUCUCUUAUAC
Molecule: ribosomal RNA, 301 nt
Filed under: uncultured bacterium
Lineage: Bacteria
Description: partial 16S ribosomal RNA
Rfam family: Bacterial small subunit ribosomal RNA
Source: RNAcentral